AAAACCAUCAGGAGAGAGAGAGAAAUAAGAACAAACCCUAGAGUGAGAAAAUUCAAAGAAAAAGUGUGAUUUUUCAAGGAAUCAAGUGUUUAAAGGUAUGAUUUUUCAAGCUUAGCUUAAGAUUUAUCAUUUCCAUGCAUUUCUCCUUAUUUUUCAUGGUUAAAUUAUGUGUUUUGAUGAUGGAUUCAAAUCUGAUCAUAUGGGUUUAGAGAGAGAAAGUUGUUAGAUUAAUUUGAUUUUGAACUAUGUUAGUGUUUUAAGUUAGUUUAGUAUAUUUAGGAACAAAACAACAAGAAAAGAAUUUAUUUUCCUCCAUUACCAUUAUUGGCCGAAUUUUCUAGGAGAAUAUUGGCUGAUGAUCUUGAUGUUUAUUUGAGAAAUUAUGAUGAAUAAUGAUGAAUUAUGAGUCUAGAAAAAUAAUGGAAAUUUUCAGAGCAAAAAUACGAAUUUUUACUCAUUUGGGGUAUUUUCGUAAUUUGCUACCAGGACUGAUAAUUUGCACCACACUGAGGGACAUUAAGUCAAUUUGGGUGCAAUUGAGGUAUAGAAACUGAAAAAAAUUAAUUUGGAGUUUAAACGGAAGCGUAUAUCGAUUUAAUCGGGUAAUGGGCCGAAUUAGGUCAGCACCGCAUUUAAGCGGUAGUCGGAUAAGUUGCCUGUCAUAUCAUGCAUAUAUACCGAGCCUCAAUUGAUUUUAUAAUGGUCAAGCAUUUAUGUGGUGAAUUAUGUAUUGUACAUUGUGGAUAGGUGGUGAGCAAAUUACACUGGUAAAAGUACAGAUAUUGUGCUUGAAGACUGGGAUUAGGAGUGCAUCGACCCCUAGAACUGUGAGUGGACAAUUUAUCGUCUUAAAUAUCUAGAGUAAUUAUACUUGUUUGAUGCUUUUAUUGAAUGGUGAAUUUAAAUUAUAAAAUAUUAUGUUUUCCAAUUAAAAUAUUUUUUUAAUAAAAAUGAGAUUUAUACUGGUUUUAAAAUCAAGUAUUGUUUUGGAAAAAUUGAGUAUAUGGAGACUGUGUUGAAAUUUAUGAUUUUAUAUGUUAUUGAAAUUGGGGCUUAUGAUAAUAUGGUAGCAUAAUGGCUAAAUUUUUGGGGUUGGCAUGAAAUAUAUGAACAGUUUUGGAUUGGUCUUAGUAGACUGAAUUACAUUUUAUUCGCCAUAUUAUGCUACUAAAAUUUUUAUGGGUCUGGUGGUAUAUUAAAUGGUCACUGUAGUGGUGGCAGUUUCCGUGGACUGCCUAUGAGAGGAGCACGGUAACCUAAUUAUAUAUUUACCUCCGGAGGGAGACGUUGGAUGAAGUAUCUCCUGAGGUAAGAUUUGAAUGCACCUCACGGUCACUGUAGUGGUGGGGGUUUUCCUGGACUGCCUAUAAGAGGGGCACGGUAACUCAAUUAUAUACUUACCUCCGAGGGGAGAUGUUGGGUGAAGUAUCUCCUGAGGUAUGAUUUGAGUGCACCUCACGUUCGGGCCACCACGUGAGAGUGAGACUCAGCCAACGCCAAGGAACGGUUGUGUGUCAGAUGUGAAAACAUGUUUAUGGGUAUGGGUCAUUGAACAGCCUUGGCGGUCUCAGUGGGAUACCUAGACGAAGGUACUCGCGAGAAUGAUUCUGGCAGGGGCCAAGUUUAAAAAAUUCAUAAGCCGAAAAAUUUUGAUGAAAAUAAAUUGUUUGGUAUAGAUUGAAACAAAUUUUGCGUUAUGAACAUUAUUGAGAUAUAAUGUUUUUAUGUUGUCUCCAUCUACUCGGCUUUAGAUGCUUUUGAUGGUAAUUGUUUACUCACUGGGAUUAUUUAAUCUCACCCCUCUUCCUAUCCAUUUUUCAGGCUCAGGACAAUUUGUUGAUAGUUGAUUAAGACGAUAAUUAAUCUUGGAGUUGCAUCCUAGAAAGUAAGGGUUCGUAGCCCUACAUCUUUUUAGUCAGUUGGGGGCCCACGUGUCACUGUAAAAGUAAUUUUAUUCUUCAGUUAUUUUAUUUAAAGUAUGUAUGAAUAUAUUUAGCUUUUACACCAUGUUUUUGGCGAGUUUCGGUAUUUUCGAAGAAAAAUGAUGAAAAUGCCCUUGUGAGCCAGAAAGUAAUAUUUUAUUAUUUUGAUUUGGAAAUGACUUAUGAUUUUUUUUAAAUGUGAGAUUUAAUAACUGUCCUUCACUAGGGAGAUGCGGAAGCUGAUGCUAAGCCUUGCGGGGUUUUGAUCGGCAUUCGGGGUAAUGAGUGCCUACCGGGACGUCGCGGCGGUUGUCACGGACUCGAUGGGAGUUUCGAGUCGUGACAUAUAGCAUUACCUUCGAUCUAUAAGUUGCAUAUACAUCAAAUGGAUGUUAAAACAACUUUUUUAAAUGAUGAUUUAAAGGAGGAAGUAUAUAUUGAACAACCAAAAGGUUUUAUACUUCCUGAAAAUGAGAGAAAAGUUUGUAAAUUGGUUAAAUCACUUUAUAGGCUAUAGCAAGCUCAUAAACAAUGGCGUGAAAAAUUUGACUCAUCCAUAUUGUCUUAUGGUUUUAAACAUAAUGGCGUUGACAAGUGUAUUUACUUAAAGUUUACCAAAGAUUAUAGAGGAAUAAUAUGUCUUUAUGUUGAUGAUAUGCUAAUAUUUAGCAAUAACAUGAUCGGCAUAAAUGAAACAAAGAAAUAUUUAACCUUUGUAUUUAAAAUGAGGGAUUUUAAUGAGUUUGAUACCAUUUUGGGUAUUAAAGUGAAGAAAUAUAAUAAUUGUUACGUUAUUAAUCAAAGUCACUAUGUUAAGAAAUUGAUCAAUAAAUUUAAACAUCUCAAUAUAAAGGAAUUUAGUACUCCAUAUGACUCAAGUAUGAAAAUGCAUGAGAAUAGUGACCAAGUAAUUGCACAACUUGAAUAUACUAGUGCUAUUGGAAGCAUUUUGUAUGCUAUGCAUCACACUAGGCUAGAUAUUGCAUUUGCAAUUUGCAAAUUAUCAAGACUAGGAUGGUGUCAAUAGCUACGCUACGAAAAAGAUCACAAAAAAUAUAAAUUAUGUUGGAGUGAAUUUAAAUUUGAUGCCUUCAAAAGAGUUUGUAGGGAAAGUUAUAUUGUAUUACUGAACUGCAUGAAUAUAUGGUUCUUGCUAGUAGAGGAAAGAUAAACUGGUAUUAAUUGAAGAUAGUUAUUUGCUCCGAUUUCAAUUACCUGGAAACUUGCACCUACUUAUAUGGUUAUAAAACAGUCCUUAUCCCAAGAAGACAAUAAUUCUAUCAAAAAUUGUUAGAUGUAUAAUAAAAUAUUAAGAAAUGAGAGAAUAUAUAACCUGCAUUAUUUACAGAUUAAGAUAAAUAGUUGUAGAAUAUAGAACAUCAAUAUAAUGUACAAAUCUUAUCAAUAGAAAAUAGUUACUAAUUUCUAGUAGUAUCUGUCUUUCAUAUAUAAAAUGAAUGGCUAAAGGUUGUCAAAUUUAGUUGAUUUGUUUAUUCAAUAAUGACUGUGUGUUAUGUAUAUUGAAAAAUGAAUAGACUUUCUUGACUUUUUUGUUUCGUUUAAUGAAUUGGAUGGGUAAUUAUUGGAAUUUAAACAUUUAUGUAUAAAAAAGAUGUGUAAAUACUCUAGAUUUAGGUUCAUGCAAAAUAAAAGGAUAUAGACAAAAAAUAAUAUUAAAUUGUAAUUGAUAAAUAUAAAAUAAAUCUAUCCUUUGAGCAUUAAAAAUUAGAAAUUAUUGUUUUCAAGUAUUUUUUAUUGAAAUAAAUAAAAGUAAAAAAAAAAACUCUUCAAAUGUCAAAAAUUAUGUAAUUUUGACAUAAGGUAUACAAAAAAAAAAGAUAAUCCAAUUGAGAAUGACAAGUGUCAAUCAAUUAACCUAAUCAGUUAUCCUACUUUUAUAUAUAUUAUAGAUAUACAAGUAGGCCUAGUAAAAUUCAAUGGAAAGUCAUUGGGAGAGUUCUUGGAUAUUUUAAAAUAACUAAAAAUUUUGUCUUUCAUUAUUCAGACUAUUUAGGAGUAUUAGAAGGAUACCCUAAUGCAAGUUGGAUUACUAGUACAAAUGAUAAUGAGUCUACUUCAAGUUGGAUUUUUACACUAGGAGCUGGUGCCAUUGGUUGGGCAUCUAAUAAACAAAUUUGUAUCUCACUUUCAACAAUGGAGUCUAAGGUUAUAGCUUUAGCUACAGCAGGAAAGGAAGUAGAAUAGUUAAUAAAUUUGUUAUUAAAUAUAGAGUUGUAGCCACAACCAAUGCUAGACAUUUUCUUAUAUUGUGAUAGUGUUGUUAUAAUGUCUUGAGCAUAUAGUGAUAUCUAUAAUGAAAAAUCUAGACAUAUUAGUUUAAGACAUGAUUAUAUUAGAGAAUUAAUCUCAAGUGGGGUAAUUACCAUAACAUAUUUUAAAUUUGCAAGUAAUUUGGCAGAUCCUCUGAAAAAAGGUUUACCAAGGGAUUUGGUAAGUAAAACUACAAAAGAAAUGGGUUUAAGACCCUUAUUAGACACAAAUAAUGGGAACCCAACUUUUAAUUAGUAACCUCUAAUUACAAUGUUUGCAUUUUGAAUAUUUAGUUUAUUGGUUGGUGCAUGAUUCCCCUACCUAAAAAGAAGAGUUUGAAUCCCCCUUCUCCUAAUUAUAUAAACAAGAAAACCCCUCUAAUUACAAAAUUCAAUGGUUAAAAAUAAGUUAUUGUUAUGUGUCUAUAAUGCACUAUUAGAAGCCAUUCCUCAAAAUCUUGUUUGAAAAUAGUGCAGUCCAUUACAUAUAGAGGUUCAGUUUAUACUCUUAAUAGAGUUUGAAUAUUUAUUUAUUAUUAUUUAUUAUUUAUUUAUUUAUUUAUUAUUUUUUAUUUUUUAUAUUUUCAUUGAAUGGGUGUCUACAGUUCUCUUGCUUUGUUCUUGGCUCCAAAUCUCUAGAAUAGUUGCUUGUUGCUUUCCCCUCAAAACCUUUGAAAAAAGUUCCUUAAAUAGGCUCUAAGUAGCCUAAUUUCCAAAAUCCUGUCAAAGUUUUAUUUUUGGAAAAUCACCCAGCACCGUGGCCUUGAUAUCUUGGCACCGCGGUGUUGGAUUCUUGCUACAAUGGUGCUGCAGCACUGAGCUCUCGAGAAAAUGUGUUGUGUGCUUCCUUUCACCAGUGUUGCAGCCUUGUUCUCCUAGUGUUGUGGCAGUUUAUCAAUUUUGAACAUGAUUUUCACCCUAAUUUGAUCUGAACUGGGUAAAGUGAUAAACAUAAAAGUUUUAACCCCGUCUCUUAAAUUUUCAAUGGCUUAAGAAUCACUUCAAUUGGACUUCUGGAUUGAAAGAUAUGCUCCAAAUACUACAUCAUGUUCAGUCUAUGAAUACUAUUGCAAUGCUCCGACUUAAACAAAUAUUUUGACCACGAUCCGAUUAGAACUGGGCGAAUUGGUAAACAUAAACGUUGUAGCCUUUCUUUUUAUAAUUCUAGUGGUCCAAGACUCACCUCAUUUGGAGUUUUUUCCCACUUAUGAUUCUCGCCUAUUGUGCGAUAAUGACUAUGUUCGUGCCUAAUAGACGGUGGAAAACAAGGGCAGUGGUUAAAUCCCGCCUGUGAUUCUCACUUAUUGUGUACGAUGUCAUCCGUCGAGAGAUUACUUCGGUUGAUGGUUGUGAUGCCACUUAUGGAGAAUACUCUAGGUGAUGUUGUCCAUUAGGAUAUUACCUCGGACGAGAAUUGUGAUGCCGUCCGUGGAGAGAUUGCUCCAGAUGAUGACUUUGAUAGUCCUCUAGUUGCUUUGACAUUGGGCGUAAUUUGUUUCUCCAUCAACUGGCCACCAUGCGUGAUUUGCUGAUGCCUAGGAGAGGACCACUUUAUGAUGUGAUAUGAUGACUACGAAGUGGCAUGCCAUAGGUUUUUGAAAUGUGAAAUAUGUUAUAUGCUGUCAUGAUGUGAUGAUUAAUGGAAAGGCUUAAGGUAAGAGCCAUAUGUAAUUGAUAUAUGAUUAUGAUGUGCUAUAUGGUUGAGGAGAUAUGAUUUAGCAUCGAGGUGAGCACCUUACAGUAUGUAUGUUAAGCCAUGUAUGUAGACGGCCAUAUGGUGGGUCGGUUUAUACGAUAGAUUAUAUUGAUAAACGGUUAUAUUAGUAAUAAUGUUGAAUGUGUAAAGUAAAGGUGAUUAUACCACCUUAGUAUGUUAAUAGCCAACGAUAUGCAGUGAUAUGAUAGACUAUGUUCGACAGGUGACGAUUAACUUGUCUUAUAUGUAUAUGUACUAUGAUAUAUGAUAUGCAUGCAUAAUUAGAAUAUAUGUGCAGCAACUAUCCCUGCACAUUUUCAAUUAUUUAUGCUCCCGUUCAUUGAGUACUAAUAUGACUCACCAUUUUAAUUGCACAUGUGUAGAUAAAUAAAUACUAAGGAUCAGGUGACCUAGCAUUGUCGAUGUUCGACACACAAUUUUGACAAGUGGUAUAUUAUCCGCUGAUAAUAAUUCUCCACUGUGUCACAGCCUGAGUCAUAGUUAUGUACGCUUUUGUUAUGUAUAUAAAGUAUGUCAUAAAGGAAAUAUGACAGCAUAAAGUUGCCUUAUGUUAUGUAAUGAGAUGUUUAAUGACUUAGUGAAUUAGCCAAUGUAUGGCUGUGUAUGUUAUGUUUAAGUCUUGAACAUUAUUACGAGUUAAGGGCUUAAUGUUGAAUGAUUAAAGAUUUAAGUUGAUAUGAGAUGAUGUUGGCCAUGAGGCCUUAUAUUAUGAUAUAUGUUUAUCAAGACUUAA
This 6642-nucleotide long non-coding RNA is filed under the name Theobroma cacao (cacao). Its description in RNAcentral is "long non-coding RNA (TCAC_LNC000801)". Lineage: Eukaryota; Viridiplantae; Streptophyta; Magnoliopsida; Malvales; Malvaceae. The record is from RNAcentral.